AUUAUUUUCGUAUUUAUAUUUAUUUAUAAACAAUAGGUUAUGUUCGUGCAUCUUGAGUAUUAUUUCUACAAUUUUCUACUAACUUGAAUCGAACACCUUAUAUAUAUACUGCUCACGUAUUUAUGCUGUCUUUAUAUGUGCACCGUGGAAAUCUACUAUUGGCAAGCAAACAUAUCGAUAAAA
Molecule: long non-coding RNA, 183 nt
Organism: Apis florea (little honeybee)
Lineage: Eukaryota; Metazoa; Arthropoda; Insecta; Hymenoptera; Apidae
Source: RefSeq, a predicted model, not a curated record